RNAcentral lists this ribosomal RNA (273 nucleotides) under uncultured bacterium. RNAcentral's name for it is "partial 16S ribosomal RNA". It matches the Rfam family "Bacterial small subunit ribosomal RNA", at positions 524 to 796 of the family's 1533-position model. The record is from RNAcentral.
UACAGAGGGUGCAAGCGUUAAUCGGAAUUACUGGGCGUAAAGCGUACGUAGGCGGUUAUCUAAGUCGGGUGUGAAAGCCCCGGGCUCAACCUGGGAAUUGCAUUCGAUACUGGAUAGCUAGAGUUCGGCAGAGGGAAGCGGAAUUUCCGGUGUAGCGGUGAAAUGCGUAGAUAUCGGAAGGAACAUCAGUGGCGAAAGCGGCUUCCUGGACCAGAACUGACGCUCAGGUACGAAAGCGUGGGGAGCAAACAGGAUUAGAAACCCCAGUAGUCC